Molecule: long non-coding RNA, 635 nt
Organism: Thalassophryne amazonica
Lineage: Eukaryota; Metazoa; Chordata; Actinopteri; Batrachoidiformes; Batrachoididae
Exons: 2
Source: RefSeq, a predicted model, not a curated record
AAAAAUUCCAGUGUUACUUUGCGCCACAUUCUCAAUGAUGCACAGUCUGUGUUCAGUUAGCACAUGGAUCAGUAGCUAGCUUUGUUGAGGCUAUAUGCCAGUCAUAGUUUUUAAUACCUGCACUCAAACCACCUGUCAUUGGAGCCAUUUCUCAUUCUGCAAAAAUAUGCAUCAUUCAGUAACUUGAACCAAACUUAUUUAGCUUGUUCACCUUAGGUAACUUGGUAACUUGGAGAUGGGUGGACAUGUUUGGGCUUCCUUCACCCUUCCCAGGGCAUGCCAAUCUUUCCUACACUCCACUAUUUAUCCAUUUGUGGGCUGGCCAAGAGUUGGGCUGAGUUGGCCACUGCCAAGAUGGCGAUUGCCAGAGCCAGCCACAGUUGAACUUCAAAUUCUUUCUUCAGAAAACAAAUGUGUGACUUCAGAGGCUUUAUCCUAUAUAUAUGCAGUCUAUGGACCUGCUACUGCAUCUUUAUACACAUUGUGUUUGAAAGUCUGAGAAAAUGCUGUGUUGAAAUGUUCCUGGCUGCAAAGUGAUUUACAAAAAUGUUUCUCAAAUGUAUUACCAUCUGGCUUGUGGCGUCACAGUUGCCUGACUGCUAAGUGGCAAAAUUCUGGAGCCCCUCCCCAAAAAA